This is a long non-coding RNA of Musca domestica (house fly), 2131 nucleotides long. RefSeq lists it as uncharacterized. The record is from RefSeq and is a predicted model, not a curated record. Lineage: Eukaryota; Metazoa; Arthropoda; Insecta; Diptera; Muscidae. The transcript is spliced from 3 exons.
UAGAACUGACAGAUGUCAACCAAGAAACGCCAAAAACAAAUUAGUUUGAGCGGGAGAUAACACUACUUUUCAACAAUUACAAAAAUUUUAUAUAUUUUAAAAUGUUAAAAAGUCCGAGUGAUGAACAACAACCAGAUGGGUUUGGACAAAGUUCUGGAGCAACCGGUGGUAGGCCCCUUCAUCCAUAUUGGUACAGAUAUACAAAAAUAACUGAACGAGGAAAAGCUGUUGCCCAGUGCAAUAGGUGCAAGCAAUUAAUCCGCAACACGGCUAUUAACAGAAUGCAGUCACAUCGGAAAAAAUGCAAUGUUGAACAGAUUGACGAGGACAACGGAAGUGAUUUACUUGAAGCGGUUAUAUCCCAAAAAAUUUGUCAUGUACACAGACAUCAAAUACUCAAACUACUAUUAAGUUGAGCUUUAUCUUUCAACAAGUUGAGCUUUAUCUUUCAACAAGAAAGAUAAAGCUCAACUCGACAUUCGUACUGCCAGGUUUUUUCGCUUGUAACAUUCCUUUUGUUGCAGCAGGUAAUCAAUUCUCCAAAGAUUUUUGCAAAGGAAUGCAACCAUCGUACAAACCACCAAGCAGAAAAAGGAUAUCUGGACCACUAUUGGAUGCAGUGCAUAAGGAGCAAAUCGAUUUGAAUGCCAAAUUUUUAAAAGAAGGUACAUAUUCCGUACUUCUUAUUUACGGAUGGAAAAAUUCAGCAUCAAACACAAAAAAUGUCGCAGCAUUACUGCACAACUGUGACCACUGAUUUUUUUUUUUUGGAAUCUUACGACUUUUCAUACAUGAGAGAAACUUCAGAAAAUCUCACUGAAAUGGUGAAAAAAGCUGCCAGUUAAGCCAAAUAUCGGUACAAAGUUGAAGUUUUCGCUGUAGUAACAGAUAAUGCUACUGAUAUGGUAUCAAUGGGCCGGAAUGUUGGGCUGAUUCAUACAACGUGUAAUGCCCACAUGGGUAAUUUGCUAUCCAAAGAUAUCAUCAAGAAUUUUGGUAUUCGUUUCGAGUUAAAUUAUCUUUGUGUGACUGGGAAUAGCCAGAGGCGAUCUACACGGCUACAGUCUCAACAAAACGAUGAUGUAUUCGGUAUGUUGGAGGACGAAGUUACUGAAAACUCUUCAAUACUUAGAAAAGUACAUAAAAUUCUUAAUGAAUUUAAAAAAGUACAUAUUGAAAGAAAGUUGUCAAUGCUUGGAGGAACCAAAGCGAAGUUACCAUGUGCAACAAGAUGGUGCGGUGAGCGUGAUGGACUUUUUUGGUUGAUAAACCGCAUUUCCAAGAUGAAGCAAAUAUCUGCAGAAACUAACACUUAUGGAAAACCCUUGGUCAAAUCCUAUAUAAGUGAGCUGCUCUAUAAGGAGGAUUUAUUCAAUCCGUUAAGGAACUAUUUGACCUUUUGAAUCCUGUAUCUUUACUCAUAAAAAACUGUCAAAAGUCUGAGUAUUCUAUAGCUGAUGCAACAGAAGAAUGGAUAAAAUUGCUUACCACGGCAAAACCAGAAUUAUAUGAAGUGGCGGCAAAAAGAUGUAGAAUCAGUAAAGUUUUUAAUAAAUAUAACCUCGCAGCAAAUGUUUUGAAUCCGCGAUAUAAGGGUGGAAGGUUGAACCCAGAGCAAAUGCAAAAAGUUGAAGACUUUUUACUGGAAAAUCUUGAUGAACAUGGAUUACAAUCAUUUUCAGAAAACAAAAAUGCGGCAGGAUUUUUUGCCUUACUUUCGGAAAAAACAUCCUAACCUGGGCUAUUCUGGGAAUUGGCUGAAAUAGACACAAAUCAUUAACGACAUUUGCACAAAAAUUGCUCAUGAUACCAGCUUCAACAGCUCAGCUGGAGGGUAUUUUUUCAAAUUGGACACAUGUUCAUACCGAUUUGAGGAACAGAUUAGACCCAGAACGUUCUAAGAAAUUGUUAGAAGUUUAUUUUUCUUUAAGAAUUAAUGAAACAAAAGACGUCUCGCAGUAUAUAGAGGAUACUGAUUCCAGCGAAAACGAAAAUUAAACGAAACAAAUUACAAAAUAAUUUGUAAUAACAGUAUGUACCUGCUUGGAGGCCUUUGAUUUAAAAUGUAAUUUAAAUGAAUUAUUUAAGUUUGUUAUGUUUUUUAUUUCCUGUUUAAUAAAACAAAUAUUUU